Molecule: ribosomal RNA, 253 nt
Filed under: uncultured bacterium
Lineage: Bacteria
Description: partial 16S ribosomal RNA
Rfam family: Bacterial small subunit ribosomal RNA
Source: RNAcentral
UACGAAGGGGGCUAGCGUUGCUCGGAAUUACUGGGCGUAAAGCGCACGUAGGCGGAUUGUUAAGUCGGGGGUGAAAUCCUGGAGCUCAACUCCAGAACUGCCUUUGAUACUGGGAAUCUCGAGUCCGGGAGAGGUGAGUGGAACUGCGAGUGUAGAGGUGAAAUUCGUAGAUAUUCGCAAGAACACCAGUGGCGAAGGCGGCUCACUGGCCCGGUACUGACGCUGAGGUGCGAAAGCGUGGGGAGCAAACAGG